Molecule: long non-coding RNA, 588 nt
Filed under: Triticum aestivum (bread wheat)
Lineage: Eukaryota; Viridiplantae; Streptophyta; Magnoliopsida; Poales; Poaceae
Description: long non-coding RNA (TAES_LNC020395)
Source: RNAcentral
CGAGCCCACUGCCCACGGCCUUCUGUCCUCCGGAGGCGAGCCAACAGCGAGCUGCUGCAGUGUUUCGCCCCUCCUUUCCCCACGAGCUCUCGACUCCUCCUCUGUCACUCACGCGGCAAGCAGCGAGCUAGCAACUCUCAGGCGGUAGCUCUCCAGUUGGUCGUCACUUUAUUGGCAGUAGCAACACCACUAAGGUAUGCUCCUCUUUUUGUUCUUUUUCACAUCCACUGUUCAAAUCUAUAUAACUACACACACCAUAAUUAUUACUAGAUUAGAUGAUAGUUUGUAUUAUCUAGACUUCUGUUUUUACUGAUGUAAGGGAAAAAACAUGUGGGAGGUUUUUUUGCUCUUGGUUUGAUAUGUCAUUGCAGAAAGGUUUUGUUUUACAAGGAGAUGAACUGUCAUUGCUUACAAGUUCAGAUCAGAAGGUGGGUGCAUAUAGUACAGAAAAUUGUAUACCUAAUUGAUUAUUAGUCUAAACGGAAGGUUUACCAGGUAUGUGUGCAAGUCUGUGGGGAGGACAUGGAUUUUGAGAUCCAGCUCCUGCCUGUAUGUGCAAGAAAUUCAUGACCUACAUCUCUAAUAUAG